This is a long non-coding RNA of Perca fluviatilis (European perch), 1036 nucleotides long. RefSeq lists it as uncharacterized. The transcript is spliced from 3 exons. Lineage: Eukaryota; Metazoa; Chordata; Actinopteri; Perciformes; Percidae. The record is from RefSeq and is a predicted model, not a curated record.
GUCACCGGCAUCGAGCUACUACCAACAAUGGCGUCAAAACAGAAGGGUUUACCUUGUAGAUGGCUGACCGUCACCUGUCCGAAAGGCAAUACACUUUUUGCAGGUGGUGACGCCUGAAAGCCAGAACGGCGACAGGUCAGCUGCACAUUGUUGUGAGCAAGGGAACCGUUACUCAACCUUUAAAAUGCCCCAAAUAACCGCUUCCAGUAUGACCGGAAGAUAUGAGAGCAGAGCGGCGGUAUGUUAACUAAUUUUGGUUUGGUUACAGCCACAUAUUACAAGCCCAAUGUGCCUCUUAAGUGUAGCUUGGGAUUUUUAAAACCGCUCAAAUUGUGAAAUUGACUUGACUUUAUUUUCCCAACCAAGAGGUUCCCAAUGUCCUAAAUACAUCCCUGAAAGUUGGCCUUUUAGCCUGCCUUUUUCCAUGCUCCAACAAAGUACACAAUGAAGACAUAUAACUUGAGGAAAGUUAUAAAAUCUUACAUUAGAGGACUAGUGGGAAACUAUUGUGAUUGUAAACUCACAUUAUACUUUGUUUACCUUUUGCAGGAAACGUUCAGCGUUGGAUAAAAAUAGCCACCUUUAGGAGGUUUGUCUGGUAACUAUGAGUGAAAGAGUGGUGGGUGUUGUAGAGCUCCUCUUAAACGUCUGCUAAUGGAUCUUGUUUUCUUUUUCAUCUCCUAGAAUCGGUGGGGAGCCAGAUGGGCGGCCGGUGAGGAGGGCAGAGCUCGAGGCAAGGAACAGAGCCUGCCCUCCUCACCUCCGGAGCUGUUAUCCUGCUGAGCUAGACGUUAGUAACGAGGAACACCGCAGCCCGGGUUCGAAUCCGACCCCGUGGCCCUUUGCUGCAUGUUGUCCCUCCUCUCUCUCUCUCUCCCUUUCCUAUCUUCUAGCUAUUCUGUUGAAUUUUAAAGGCCAUAAAAAGCCCAAUAAAUGAACUAGUUGACCACUUGAGUAGCAAAUGCACUGUAUUGAUUUAGUGCUUUUAUCCAAAGCACUUCACAAUUUGGCUCUUAUUCACCACUAUUCCCCACAC